Papaver somniferum (opium poppy) is the source of this 1564-nucleotide long non-coding RNA. RefSeq lists it as uncharacterized. The transcript has 2 exons. Lineage: Eukaryota; Viridiplantae; Streptophyta; Magnoliopsida; Ranunculales; Papaveraceae. The record is from RefSeq and is a predicted model, not a curated record.
GUAGCUGGUGUUACUCUUGGGAUAAGAAGGGAAGGAAAGCUGGACAGAGAGGUAAGGAAAGAGUAUUUGGGUUAUUAAUUAAGAAUUAGGUCCAAAGGAAAGAUAUACUAUAUAGAAGAUGAAGAGAGAAAUAAAGUUUUUAGGAGAGUAAACAAUAGGAUAGAUUUUCAUGAUGAUGGAGAUAAAAGAUAUUGGUAGUGAGCUAGAUUGAGGAAGGAUUAAUUGUGAUUGAAAUCAGUGGAAAGAAGUAAUAAAUAAUUAAGGUUUCCAUUAGAUUUGGUUACGGAGUGAUAGACUAGGAAAGAAAAAUAGUGUUCUUGAUGAAUAUGAUGAUGGAGACGAUGGGAAAUAAUGAAAAGUUGUUAAACAGUCAAGUUAGUCUAUAUUAACAACGAUCUAUUCGAAGGAGGAAUCAGUGGAUGGAGGAAUACAAGGUAGGUGUGGCUUUGUCAUCAAAUCAGGUUGGAACUCUGUAACUUUCUUGUAAUCAUUAAGUUUAUGUUAUGUGUGAGCAUGAUGAGUCCUUAAUUUCUUUAAGCAUAUUGUUUGUAAUUCAAUCGGUAUGUUGUGUAAUAUGCGUUGGGUGGUUUCCCCGCGAAGAGUGUAUGUGUUUCCCCAUAGCUCUUGGCUAAGUUUAGUAGGGAAAUGCUACGUUGUUUGAAUAUUACUUAGUAGCCCGGCUUUACCCCGGAUAAAUAUUAUUACAUUUUAUUAUCUUAAGAUAGUAUUCCGGCUUUACCCCGGUUGAUUAUUACCUAGUAGUCCGGCUUUACCCCGGUUGAUUAUUAUAUAUAUUAUUUUAUUUGGGGAAGUCACUCAUGUGCAUAUUAUACUUGAUUGUGCAGUCUUAGUAGUAUGACUGGGUUACUAUGAUCUUGACUUAGGAAGAAAUUCUAGGUUCAUGAUUGGAUAUGGUUAUUAUUCGGUGACUUCGAUUUACGAAUAAUGAUUGGGCCUUUCGUGAACCUGUUGUGCCGGGUCAGAUCAUAGUAAUCAAAAUUCUUAUUAUAUCUAGACUUAGAUGGUAGCAUUGGGGUUUAUGAAUAACUCCAGACUUAGAUGAUACCUGGAUUCAUGCUAUCAUUUGAGACUGGAGUUAUUCCUAGUAUCUUCUCCUCUAUUGAGUGAGACGAGGUUGGGAUAACAUAUGUUUAGGUUGUUUAAUUCUUUUCUCGUAGAUUCAUCCAGAUCUUUCACGGAUAUUACCACUAUGGACGUAAUAUCUGGGGAUACGAGUUGAAGCAAUCUUCUGCUCUAUGUUGUGUGUAAAAGAUGUUUAUCGUUUUCUUUUCUAGAACUGUGAUGCAUGUUAGUGAUUACUUGAAUGUUAUAUUGAUAUCCACUGAGCCCCCAUUUGGGAUGAUGUGCUCACUCGUUCCCACUUCAGCUUUCAGACAUCAGAAGAAAUGGUGCGCGCGAUAUCGUAACUUAAAGCUUAAUUGAAUCUAGACAUUUUGUAUAUCUUAUAUUUUAUGUUUCUUUAUUUAUUUUGUAAAACAAAUAUUAUUAUAUUCAUAUCACUCGAGAGAUUUUCAUCUAUACAAUAUCUGAGAGUGUUGGGCUA